RNAcentral lists this transfer RNA (72 nucleotides) under Camelus dromedarius (Arabian camel). It matches the Rfam family "tRNA". From Rfam's summary of the family: Transfer RNA (tRNA) molecules are approximately 80 nucleotides in length. Their secondary structure includes four short double-helical elements and three loops (D, anti-codon, and T loops). RNAcentral also lists the same sequence under 1 other name. The record is from Rfam by way of RNAcentral. Lineage: Eukaryota; Metazoa; Chordata; Mammalia; Artiodactyla; Camelidae.
GAGGGGAUAACUCAGUGGUAGAGCGCAUGCCUAGCAAGCAUGAAGUCCUGGAUUCCAUCCCUAGUACCACCA